This 253-nucleotide ribosomal RNA is filed under the name uncultured bacterium. RNAcentral's name for it is "partial 16S ribosomal RNA". It matches the Rfam family "Bacterial small subunit ribosomal RNA", at positions 524 to 776 of the family's 1533-position model. The record is from RNAcentral.
UACGUAGGUGGCGAGCGUUGUCCGGAAUUACUGGGUGUAAAGGGCGUGUAGGCGGGAAUACAAGUCAGAUGUGAAAUUCCAGAGCUCAACUCUGGCGCUGCAUCUGAAACUGUGUUUCUUGAGUACUGGAGAGGAAAGCGGUAUUCCUAGUGUAGCGGUGAAAUGCGUAGAUAUUAGGAGGAACACCAGUGGCGAAGGCGGCUUUCUGGACAGUAACUGACGCUGAGGCGCGAAAGCGUGGGGAGCAAACAGG